This is a non-coding RNA of Pelobates cultripes (western spadefoot toad), 209 nucleotides long. The record is from the annotation of a GenBank genome assembly. Lineage: Eukaryota; Metazoa; Chordata; Amphibia; Anura; Pelobatidae.
GGAACUGGUUUUGGGCAGAAAAGCCAUGCUCCCUUUGGUCACAAAGGACUACAAUCUAUCUUUUGAACCACUGGACCAAUUUGGAUGAUUUUGACAUAUGUUUGUAUUUGGAGUAUGCUGAUUCUGAAAAUGUAAGUUAUGUGAAUGUGAUGCAAACUUUUCAAGUUAUGAAUAAUGUGGAAAAAUUGUAUUUCUCUGCUUGUGAUAAU